This 570-nucleotide long non-coding RNA is filed under the name Olea europaea subsp. europaea. The record is from RNAcentral. Lineage: Eukaryota; Viridiplantae; Streptophyta; Magnoliopsida; Lamiales; Oleaceae.
CCCUGCAAGAAAUUAAAAAAUAUUUCUCCUCUCAGCUUAUAACACUAGAAAUAUGGUAAUAAAUAGGUUUUAAUUAAAUUUAAAAUUAUUUAAUAAUUUUAAUUAAAAUAUUACAAUCGCCCAUACGUCAUCAUCCCGAGAUCACAAACUUGUUUUCAUACUAUUCGCUAACAAUUCAAACAAACUUUUUUCCAUAUUGACAGAAUUUCUCCACCCUCGUAGUCAAAUAUAGAUAAUAUAAAAAGAAAUAAAUAUGCAUAAACAAGUUUGUAUUUGAAAAGAAAAUGCUCAAUUAGUUCAACAUGUAGUUCUUAUGGAACCCAUCUAUCGAGAUAUAUGCAUUACUUUACUAAAAUGUUAAAUUUAAUUAAAUGCUGUAGAUCUAUAUGAUUCACAAAAUUGAUGUUAGAUAGUUACCUUAUUUCUUCGGGAAUGGAUGUGGGACGUCAUGACAAAUAAAGAGAUAAAUGAUAUUCCCAGCAAAAUCAUAGACCUCCUCAAUUGUCAUGAGGUCCCACACAAUUUCAACCUAUCAAAAUAAGACAAUUAUAUGUUGGUGGAGGAUGCUAU